GGCGAACGCUGGCGGCGUGCCUAAUACAUGCAAGUCGAGCGGACCGGAUUGGGGCUUGCCUUGAUUCGGUCAGCGGCGGACGGGUGAGUAACACGUGGGCAACCUGCCCGCAAGACCGGGAUAACUCCGGGAAACCGGAGCUAAUACCGGAUAACACCGAAGACCGCAUGGUCUUCGGUUGAAAGGCGGCCUUUGGGCUGUCACUUGCGGAUGGGCCCGCGGCGCAUUAGCUAGUUGGUGAGGUAACGGCUCACCAAGGCGACGAUGCGUAGCCGGCCUGGGAGGGUGACCGGCCACACUGGGACUGAGACACGGCCCAGACUCCUACGGGAGGCAGCAGUAGGGAAUCUUCCGCAAUGGGCGAAAGCCUGACGGAGCGACGCCGCGUGAGCGAAGAAGGCCUUCGGGUCGUAAAGAUCUGUUGUGAGGGACGAAGGAGCGUCGUUCGAAGAGGGCGGCGCGGUGACGGUACCUCACGAGAAAGCCCCGGCUAACUACGUG
RNAcentral lists this ribosomal RNA (501 nucleotides) under uncultured bacterium. RNAcentral describes it as "partial 16S ribosomal RNA". It matches the Rfam family "Bacterial small subunit ribosomal RNA", at positions 28 to 507 of the family's 1533-position model. The record is from RNAcentral.